CAAGGAAUUUUCCGCAAUGGGGGCAACCCUGACGGAGCAACGCCGCGUGCGGGAUGACGCUUUUCGGAGUGUAAACCGCUUUUCUCGGGGAGGAUGGAGGACAGUACCCGAGGAAUCAGGCCCGGCUAACUACGUGCCAGCAGCCGCGGUAAUACGUAGGGGCCGAGCGUUGUCCGGAGUUACUGGGCGUAAAGCGCGCGCAGGCGGCCUCGCGCGCCCGACGUGAAAGCCCCCGGCUUAACCGGGGAGAGUCGUUGGGGACGGCGGGGCUUGAGGGCGGGAGAGGUCGGUGGAAUUCCCGGUGUAGUGGUGAAAUGCGUAGAGAUCGGGAGGAACACCUGUGGCGAAGGCGGCCGACUGGGCCGACCCUGACGCUGAGGCGCGAAGGCGUGGUGAGCGAACGGGAUUAGAUACCCCGGUAGUCCACGCAGUAAACGAUGCAGACUAGGCGUGGGGGACUUGACCCCCUCCGUGCCGGAGCUAACGCGGGAAGUCUGCCGCCUGGGGAGUACGGCCGCAACGGCUAAAACUCAAAGG
RNAcentral lists this ribosomal RNA (537 nucleotides) under uncultured Chloroflexota bacterium. RNAcentral's name for it is "bacterial SSU rRNA". It matches the Rfam family "Bacterial small subunit ribosomal RNA", at positions 355 to 907 of the family's 1533-position model. Lineage: Bacteria; Bacillati; Chloroflexota. The record is from RNAcentral.